This 253-nucleotide ribosomal RNA is filed under the name uncultured bacterium. Its description in RNAcentral is "partial 16S ribosomal RNA". It matches the Rfam family "Bacterial small subunit ribosomal RNA", at positions 524 to 776 of the family's 1533-position model. The record is from RNAcentral.
UACGUAGGGUGCAAGCGUUGUCCGGAAUUAUUGGGCGUAAAGAGCUCGUAGGCGGUUUGUCGCGUCUGCUGUGAAAUCCCAGGGCUUAACCCUGGGCCUGCAGUGGGUACGGGCAAACUAGAGUGCGGUAGGGGAGAUCGGAAUUCCUGGUGUAGCGGUGAAAUGCGCAGAUAUCAGGAGGAACACCGGUGGCGAAGGCGGAUCUCUGGGCCGUAACUGACACUGAGGAGCGAAAGCGUGGGGAGCGAACAGG